AAUGUUUCUUCUUCUCUCUCGAUUUAUUUCCUCAGUAACAUUUUACUGAUGAGUUCAUGUCUCAAUCUGUAGUUUCAAGUCUUCUUCAACAUGAUGUUCAUUUAGUAACUUCUGUUCUAUUUUGACCGCGUUGCGUUCAGGUGCAGUAACAGACCGCGUUGCGUUCAGGUGCAGUAACAUACCGUGUUGCGUUCAUGUACAGUAACAGACCGUGUUGCAUUCAGGUGCAGUAACAGACUGUGUUGCAUUCAGGUGCAGUAAUAGACCGUGUUGCAUUCAUGUGCAGUAACAGACCGUGUUGCAUUCAGGUGCAGUAACAGACCGUGUUGCAUUCAGGUGCAGUAACAGACCGUGUUGCGUUCAGGUGCAGUAACAGACUGUGUGUUGUGUUCAGGUGCAGUAACAGACUGUGUGUUGUGUUCAGGUGCAGUGACAGACCGUGUUACGUUCAGGUGCAGUAACAGACUGUAUUGUGUUCAGGUGCAGUAACAGACUGUGUGUUGUGUUCAGGUGCAGUAACAGACUGUGUGUUGUGUUCAGGUGCAGUGACAGACCGUGUUACGUUCAGGUGCAGUAACAGACUGUGUGUUGUGUUCAGGUGCAGUAACAGACUGUGUUGCAUUCAGGUGCAGACAUCCGGCAGGUGAAGAGGGAGGAUGCGGGCCCUGUCCUGGCCGACACGUUGCGUCAGUUCCUGUUUGACCUGCAGGUGGAGGAUGGCCUGGCUGCCGUGGGUUACAGUAAAGACGACAUCCCGGCUCUGGUGAAGGGGACCAUCCCGCAGGAGCGUGUGACGAAGCUCUCUCCCCGGGAGCACACUGAGGAGGAUCUCAGCGAGCUCUUCGCAGCCUCCAUGAAGCUCUACUGAGCGCUGACCUCUGGUCUGUGCUGCAGCUCCUCUAACGGCCACUAGGCGGAGCUGUUUCUACAUUUUGAUUUUAUCAAAUAAAACACGUAUUCACAAGU
Long non-coding RNA from Cottoperca gobio, 966 nucleotides. RefSeq lists it as uncharacterized. Lineage: Eukaryota; Metazoa; Chordata; Actinopteri; Perciformes; Bovichtidae. The record is from RefSeq and is a predicted model, not a curated record. The transcript is spliced from 2 exons.